CUUAGAUCAACUGACACAUUUUAAAUGGCAAUUUCAAGGGGUUACUGCCAAUUAGAAAGGAUCACUCCCAUUUCAAUCCCUGGACUUAUCUCUUUUAGUUUUGGGGCCUCAACCCCAGAGCAAUGUGCAAGAUAUGUUACAUUUUUAUUUGUUUGUAACAAUAUUUAUAUAGGGUUACAAAAUUGUCAGUUAUAAUGAUUUUAGCAAAUCGUUAAUGUCAAAAAUGAAUAACUUUACAAGUAACAAUGACCAUUUUAUAAAGUUAUGCUAUAAAAUAGUAUACCUGAAAACACAAGGAUGCAUAUUUCAAAAAGUAUUUAAUAUAAAUUAAUGUCUCUCAGUUUCCAUCCAAUAAUAGCUUUGUAAUGUAGACCUAGAACAUUUUUACGUAACUUUGCGUAAAACAUUCAUUGUUUUAAGCUCCCUGAGACUAAAUGGUGAACUGCUGCACUGUUUAAAAUGACUUUCAAUGUUCUCUUUGGGAUUCCCUGACAAUGCUUUAUUUUUAUGUUCAUAUUCUCAUAACCCUCAAAUCUUCACCCUUUAGUGGUAGAUUUGAUUUCUCAAAUUACUCAAACGCCAUUUAUAGCAAAGUGGGUGCUCAAAGGAAAAGCAUGUAAUUUUUAGUCAUUUUAAAAUUAAUUUUUGUUAUAUAAAGAACACACAUAUACAUUUUUCUAACCACACUCUCCCAAAAAAGUCAUAAAUAAAAGGUAAAGUUCUAUUUUACCAUAAGUCCCAUAAAUCCCUGUCCCCCUUCCCUCCUCUAUUCACUGUUGUCAUUUUAGUGUAUAUUAUUCCAGUUUUCUGUUCAUUUACAAAGACAAAUAUGUACCACAAUAAAACAGUAUUGUUUUGAAGGGGUUUGUUUUUGCAUAAAAGAAUAACUAAAUACAAAUCGUCCUGCGACUUGCAUUUGUUCUCCACUCCAAAAUAUGUCCUGGGAACUUUCCAUGUUGGCAUAACACAGUAUUCCAUAACUGGAUAUUCCAGUAAUUUAGCCAUUUCCCCAGCUGAAGGGGGAAUUAGGUGUCGUCAAUAUCACAAACACCUCUGAAAAGAACAUCUGUAUCCAGUUUAACGUUGACAGAAAAUUCUGUCCGUGUCUCAGUUCAUCUGUAAAAAAGAUGCAAACAUCACCUGCCAUAUAGGGCUGCAGUGGGGAUUAAAUAAACUGACAUAUCUGUGGCCGGCUCUGUCACCCAAUGUCGUUAUUUUCUUUGGUUAGCUCUGAUCCUUUCGUCUUGGCUCUUGGGAGAUUCGAUACUAGCUGCCGUGCGCUGAGCAUCAUCUUCCAAAUCAAGGUAACUCCGAGCCUGGUGGGAGCGUCUUCUUCUGACAUCCCUUAGUCUCCUGCUUUAAGGUGAGAGGAUUUUUCUGACGGUUGUGGCUUUUCUUUUCAACGGUUAAAAGAGGCGCGCUGGACACCCAUUCUCCAACACCUUUCUCUUGGUGCACAAGCUGUUCCCUCUACCCAGAUGCCCAACCCGGUCCCUCGCCAUCACGCUUGGAGUCCGAGCCCUCCGCCGGGAAGUCGAGGGCAGGCGGCGCAGGCACAGCCCCUGCCCCGUCGCCCUCCGCCUGGAGCUCCCGGGCCGCCGAGCUGCCCCCCAGCCUCGCCGGCCGCGCGCGGGCCGCAGGGCAGCCGGGCCGCUAGCUCAGCGCCGCCUCACUCGGCAGCCGCGGCCAUCACCACCGGAUCCGGAAGUAGCCCUGCUCGAGGCGGAAAGUUCACCCCGGCCACCCGCGCACCGCCUUCGGGGGCAGGGCCUGCGGCAGGCCCCGCCCCUUCAGGCCCCGCCCCUUCCCCUUCCAGGAGGAAAGGAUGGGC
Equus caballus (horse) is the source of this 1831-nucleotide long non-coding RNA. The record is from Ensembl. Lineage: Eukaryota; Metazoa; Chordata; Mammalia; Perissodactyla; Equidae.